Molecule: long non-coding RNA, 2701 nt
Organism: Esox lucius (northern pike)
Lineage: Eukaryota; Metazoa; Chordata; Actinopteri; Esociformes; Esocidae
Exons: 3
Source: RefSeq, a predicted model, not a curated record
CAUGUCUCCUCAAGUAACAUAGUAACACUUUUGAUUUGGUUUCAAGUAUGACAAUGACAAUGACUUUAGUACAGCUCAGCUUUCGGAAACUGUUUAAUGCCUUUACGUUUUGAGGUACUGCAUCGUUGCAGGGAAUUUUCUCCCCUCAAAAUAUGAACCACAAGCUCCAUCACGCACAAACAGCGUUCUGGAAGGAGAAUGAAGGGUUAUUUAGAGCUGUUUUGACAUUUGAGCCUGAGGAAUGGCUAAAGAUACAGUUAUCCUUCUGUGUAGGGAGGAAGCUUCAUAGAUGAGCACCAGGCAGCCUCCCAGCCCUGCACAGAGCCAACCCUGUUCCAGGGAGAGCAGGCAGAGAAGGAAAUCAAUAGUGAAAACAUGGCUGCAGGCUCACACAUUUUUAUCUGUCUUUGAACGAGUCAGCUUUAAUUUAGCUUUGAUCUCAAUUUGCUGCUUUUGGGAUGGCUUUGGCUGCACACUCAACAGGAACAGAGUCUUCAUAUAUCUUUUCCUUUAUUGAGAGGGUCUCUGAAACUCCAACAUAGAUUUUGAUAUUGUGAGUUUCCCCAGCUGAUGAAUGAAGAAGAGAACACAUCACAGGACAGCGGUGUAUGAAGGUACACAUCCACCAAUCACAAACAGCGCAGUUAACAUGGACAGGAUAUAAUGAAUGAGUUGAAAUGUAUUCACUGAAUGAUUUAUGAGCAAAGAGAAGAAAACGUAAGACAAUAUUAGGGAAUAGAAUGAAGAGACACUCAGAAAUAGUGAACGAAGGGGGCUCCCUUCCCUGUGAACUAACAGGUUGACAUGCAGCGCAGCUGGCCUUGUUCUCACUGCUCUGCCAACCAAGCCACAAAACAUCCUCAUUAGGGUAGUUGAACAAAUGGGGUAUUGAUAUUAUGAAAUCAAAUAAGGCCAUUCAAAGAUGGCUGCCUUUCGCUCGCCUGUUUCUAUACCAGAACUUUCAUAGGGGGGGUUUGUUUGGGAACUUGUUUCUCUAUUUUGGAACAGAGACAAAAGGGUAGGAGAAGGUCUCUGGGCAGAGAAAAGGACAGUGCUUUGCUAGGGAGAAAAGGAAAGGGUCUAAUCUAAUUUGGUUGAAGCAGGAAAUGUGUGUGUGUGUGUCUGUACAUGCCUGUGUGUGUGUGUGUGUGUGUGUGUGUUGUGUGUGUGCACGUGCUCGUGAGUGUGCGUGGCUGUGCUGCACAGUGUAAGCGGACUGUGGGAAUGGUACAGGAGGGCUGUGGCUCUGAAUAGAACCUCCAGAGCCAGAAGCAGUGGGGAGUCUCCCCAGAUGUACUCAUUCCAGGCCGGCCACUCAAAGAGGGAUUAGAAAAGAGAAGGCCUUCCUGAUUAGCGAUUCACACUCAAGUGCCCCCACGAGGACCCUGGGUAAUACUUCCAUCAAUUCUCUUCACCAAUGGAAGCCUUAAGUUGUUUACUCUCUUUCUAACAGUUUUUUCCUCCUUCAUUCGUCGCUGCAUCCAAACUGUAAUGUCAGUAAGUCACACCAUGUUCUGAGAAACGUUUUAUUAAAAUGCAAAAACAAGUCCAGCAAACACAGAUUCCCAUCGGAUCCAAAAUGACUUUCCCAGCAAAAAUGUGUUUUGCAAGAAGUUAACUGUAACUGUUUUGCUUCAGUGCUCUGCCUGGAGCUAGUGAACAGACUCAGAGGGGACGCCUUCUUCUCCUCAUAUGCGUGUCAAAUGACGACCACUUGAAAGGAGGAUGAUAGAUAUCAUCAUGACCAGCAAAACAAUCAUGAAAGAGAAGGAGAGACCAAGAAGAAAGGAGUGAGCAAGAACAAAGCCGCCGGAAUUACAACAAACCAGUAGACUGUGUAUUCUUAUUAAGCUAUGUGACAAUGCUAUCUUGUAUGUUUCAUAAAGAAAACGCAGAUGGAUAAUAAGGGGGGAUGUCUGCUUUAGAAAUAUGUCAGACUGUGUUGCCUGAACAUCAGAUGAUCAGUACACGGAGAACACCAUUGCUAGGGCCUUGGGAAUGCAGGGCUUUCGGUUCAAAUUAAAGUGUCAACUUUUUAGCUACUACGCAUGAGUUACAAAAGUCAAUGUGAAUAGGAAAUCUAGCAUGAUCUAGCAUGUUAGAUAUAAUCCGUGUAGAAGUCAUUUUGAUUUCGAUAGAAACAAAAUGUAAUUAUAUAUUUACAUGUGAUAAAAAGAGAAUUUGAAACACAGGAAAAUAUUAUAAGCAUAGUUUGACGACAAGAAACUGCUAACUUGCAGGUAUGUGGGAGAUGAGAAGGACAGUACUAUGUGUUCAUAAUAACCUGUAUUUAUGUUCCUGCCAUGUCCACACAUAGAGCACCAACAGCUGAAAUGGCACCACUGAAAUAUGCAGUGCUAAAACUUUUAGACACGCUGGUGCCAUGUUUCUCAACUUGCCCGUACACAUUUCUGAAAUAUUUCUAAAAGAACUUGUAACUGAUAAAAACUCUUGUAAAAGUGUACUAAAAGCUUCCCUGUUUACUUUUGAUCCUGAUUUUACCCUUGGUGAAAACCAUGGCUAGACUUGGGUAUAAAUCUCACAACCAAAGACUUUUACAAGGUAAUGUGAUUUAAGCUGUGAGGGAUCUCGUGUCCCAGAUAUGGCCAGGAGGCCCUCCACAUCCCCCUCCCAUAGUCCUGCCAUACCCCCCUGAUGCAGGACUACAUAUCACUGCAGUUGUAAACCAGGCAAAAAGGGG